GGCCUACCAUGGUGGUAACGGGUAACGGGGUGUUAGGGCACGACACCGGAGAGGGAGCCUGAGAAACGGCUACCACAUCCAAGGAUGGCAGCAGGCGCGCAAAUUACCCAAUCCCGACACGGGGAGGUAGUGACAAUAAAUAACAAUACGGGGUUCUUUCGGAUCUCGUAAUUGGAAUGAGUACAAUUUAAAUCUCUUAACGAGGAACAAUUGGAGGGCAAGUCUGGUGCCAGCAGCCGCGGUAAUUCCAGCUCCAAUAGCGUAUAUUAAAGUUGUUGCAGUUAAAAAGCUCGUAGUUGAAUUUCGGGAUCAGUAGGUUGGUCAUGCCUAUGGUAUGUACUGGCUUUACUGGUUCCUCCUUCUUGAUGAUCUGUAAUGUCAUUAAUUUGGUGUUGCAGGGAGUCAGGACUGUUACUUUGAAAAAAUUAGAGUGUUUAAAGCAGGCAUACGCUUGAAUACAUUAGCAUGGAAUAAUGAAAUAGGACGUUCGAUCCUAUUUUGUUGGUUUCUAGGAUUGACGUAAUGAUUAAUAGGGAUAGUUGGGGGCAUUAGUAUUCAAUUGUCAGAGGUGAAAUUCUUGGAUUUAUUGAAGACUAACUACCGCGAAAGCAUUUGCCAAGGAUGUUUUCAUUAAUCAAGAACGAAAGUUAGGGGAUCGAAGACGAUCAGAUACCGUCGUAGUCUUAAACCAUAAACUAUGCCGACUAGGGAUCGGAUGAUGUUAUUUUUAAUGACUCAUUCGGCGCCUUACCG
RNAcentral lists this ribosomal RNA (753 nucleotides) under uncultured Glomus. RNAcentral's name for it is "SSU rRNA". It matches the Rfam family "Eukaryotic small subunit ribosomal RNA", at positions 338 to 1093 of the family's 1831-position model. The record is from RNAcentral. Lineage: Eukaryota; Fungi; Glomeromycota; Glomeromycetes; Glomerales; Glomeraceae.